GAUGAACGCUGGCGGCGUGCCUAAUACAUGCAAGUCGAGCGAACAGACGAGGAGCUUGCUCCUUUGACGUUAGCGGCGGACGGGUGAGUAACACGUGGGUAACCUACCUAUAAGACUGGGAUAACUUCGGGAAACCGGAGCUAAUACCGGAUAAUAUUUCGAACCGCAUGGUUCGAUAGUGAAAGAUGGCUUUGCUAUCACUUAUAGAUGGACCUGCGCCGUAUUAGCUAGUUGGUAAGGUAACGGCUUACCGAGGCAACGAUACGUAGCCGACCUGAGAGGGUGAUCGGCCACACUGGAACUGAGACACGGUCCAGACUCCUACGGGAGGCAGCAGUAGGGAAUCUUCCGCAAUGGGCGAAAGCCUGACGGAGCAACGCCGCGUGAGUGAUGAAGGUCUUCGGAUCGUAAAACUCUGUUAUUAGGGAAGAACAAACGUGUAAGUAACUGUGCACGUCUUGACGGUACCUAAUCAGAAAGCCACGGCUAACUACGUG
Molecule: ribosomal RNA, 497 nt
Filed under: uncultured bacterium
Lineage: Bacteria
Description: partial 16S ribosomal RNA
Rfam family: Bacterial small subunit ribosomal RNA
Source: RNAcentral